CACACAGUAAGGCGUGAAAGUCGCGUACACGUAAAGAGUCAUAUUAUAUUGGGUAUCCUGAGUAGGGCGGGACACGAAGAAUCCUGUCUGAAUCCACGGGGACCAUCCCGUAAGGCUAAAUACAACCGGAAGACCGAUAGCGAACCAGUACUGUGAAGGAAAGGUGAAAAGUACCCCGAACAGGGGGGUGAAAAAGAACCUGAAACCGUACGCCUACAAGCGGUCGGAGCGGAGACAAGAUCCGUGACGGCGUGCCUUUUGCAUAAUGAGCCUACGAGUUACUGUUGUUAGCGAGGUUAAGUACUUCAGGUACGGAGCCGAAGCGAAAGCGAGUCUGAACAGGGCGCUUAAGUUAGCAGUAGUAGACGCGAAACCUAGUGAUCUACCCUUGGCCAGGUUGAAGUAUCCGUAAAAGGAUAUGGAGGACCGAACCAGUAUCCGUUGAAAAGGAUUUGGAUGAGCUGAGGGUAGGGGUGAAAGGCUAAUCAAACUGGGAGAUAGCUCGUACUCCCCGAAAUGUCUUUUGGGACAGCCUCAAGCUACAGAGUUUACCGGAGGUAGAGCUACUGAUAGGAUGCGAGGGCUUCACCGCCUAUCAAAUCCUGACAAACUCCGAAUGCCGGUAAAUGAUGCUUGGGAGUGAGUUGCCGGGUGCUAAUGUCCGGUAGCGAAAGGGAAAGAGCCCAGACCAACGGCUAAGGCCCCUAAAGUGUGUUAAGUUGAAAGAACGAGGUGCGGUUGCUGAGACAGCUAGGAUGUUAGCUUGGAAGCAGCUAAUCAUUUAAAGAGUGCGUAACAGCUCACUAGUCGAGCGACUGUGCAUGGAUAAUAAUCGGGCAUCAAACACACUGCCGAAGCCAUGGACUUCAAUGAAGUGGUAGGGGAGCAUUCCAGCAGGCGUAGAAGGAUAACCUGUGAGGGUAUCUGGAGCGACUGGAAAAGAAGAUGUAGGCAUAAGUAACGACAAUGCGGGAUAGAAACCCGCACACCGAAAGCCCAAGGGUUCCUGAUCAAUGCUAAACAGAUCAGGGUUAGUCAGGGCCUAAGGGGAAUCCGA
This 1057-nucleotide ribosomal RNA is filed under the name Spartobacteria bacterium. Its description in RNAcentral is "partial 23S ribosomal RNA". It matches the Rfam family "Bacterial large subunit ribosomal RNA", at positions 351 to 1405 of the family's 2925-position model. Lineage: Bacteria; Pseudomonadati; Verrucomicrobiota; Spartobacteria. The record is from RNAcentral.